GCAUUGGUGGUUCAGUGGCAGAAUUCUCACCUUCCGUGCAAGAGUCCAUGUUUCAAUUCUGGCCAAUGCA
Molecule: transfer RNA, 70 nt
Filed under: Loxodonta africana (African savanna elephant)
Lineage: Eukaryota; Metazoa; Chordata; Mammalia; Proboscidea; Elephantidae
Rfam family: tRNA
About the family: Transfer RNA (tRNA) molecules are approximately 80 nucleotides in length. Their secondary structure includes four short double-helical elements and three loops (D, anti-codon, and T loops).
Source: Rfam by way of RNAcentral